RNAcentral lists this ribosomal RNA (424 nucleotides) under uncultured bacterium. Its description in RNAcentral is "partial 16S ribosomal RNA". It matches the Rfam family "Bacterial small subunit ribosomal RNA", at positions 360 to 776 of the family's 1533-position model. The record is from RNAcentral.
AAUUUUGGACAAUGGGGGAAACCCUGAUCCAGCCAUCCCGCGUGUAUGAUGAAGGCCUUCGGUUUGUAAAGUACUUUUGGCAGUGAAGAAAAGGCAUCCCCUAAUACGGGAUGCUGCUGACGGUAUCUGCAGCAUAAGCACCGGCUAAUUACGUGCCAGCAGCCGCGGUAAUACGUAGGGUGCAAGCGUUAAUCGGAAUUACUGGGCGUAACGCGUGCGCAGGCGGUUCGGAAAGAAGGAUGUGAAGACCCAGGGCUCAACCUUGGAACUGCAUUCUUAACUACCGAACUAGAGUAUGUCAGAGGGGGGUAGAAUUCCGCGUGUAGCAGUGAAAUGCGUAGAUAUGCGGAGGAAUACCGAUGGCGGAGGCAGCCCCCUGGGAUAAUACUGACGCUCAUGCACGAAAGCGUGGGUAGCAAACAGG